CAAAAUGGUGAUUUUAGCUGAUUUUAUUGGUUUUUCUUGCGUAGUACUGUCAUUUGCCACGCCCCUGUGACACAUUAUGACUGACCAACUGUGUGUAGUUGCCAGGUAGACAUCACAUGAGCUUGGAUGUAGCAAAUAAAGACAAGAUGAUUUGUGACAUCACAAAUCAAUGAAUAUGAUUGCCUACUUCAGUAAAAAGCAGCAAAACGGAGUAAAAUCACCAUUUUUGACUAGAAGGGCCGCUCUAGCAAAGAAGAGACUGCAUGGUCUAGCUCCUAAUUCUGUGUAUCUCAAAACCUACAAGUAGCCUGCACUUCCGUUGGAGCUCAAAAGUUGCACAAGUAGCCAUUUUGGAAUGAUGAUGUCAUAUGAUGUAACAGGUGGUGGUCCAAUGGAAGCGCCAAUAGUUGAACUUUCAGUACCUGCACACAAAUUGAUCCAAUCACAUUUUGUUUAGGUCAUGUUUGCCAUAAAUACUGCAAUUUGAUUGGCUAAAAGAAGUGUUCUAUCCAACUUCAUGUACUUAUUUAGAAAAUCGUGUACUUACUUAGAAAAUCAUGUACUUCACUUAGAAAAUCAUGUAGCAAAGAUUAGAUAAGAACAUUCAAAUCUGAUUGGCUAAAUACUCAUGGUUGCUAUGAUCUAAAAUGCUUAGACACUGUUUAGGAAGUUUCCACAUGAUUUAGAAGUCCUCAGGGCUAGUAGAACCCUUACUGCGUUCGGGAUACUACAACCAGCCCUUUGAGCUUCU
Halichondria panicea is the source of this 751-nucleotide long non-coding RNA. RefSeq lists it as uncharacterized. NCBI's taxonomy places the organism in Eukaryota, Metazoa, Porifera, Demospongiae, Suberitida, Halichondriidae. The transcript has 3 exons. The record is from RefSeq and is a predicted model, not a curated record.